GCAGCAGAAAGACGUGCUGAGUGUAAAGCUGUCAGCAGGGGGAAUAACACAGGGCUGUGAAUGAGUCCUGUCACUGUGAUCAGGCUCCUCCUUCUAAUCCACCAACUUAGUGUUGAUGAAGACUAAACAGAGAGAUCACAGCUUCUUUAUACUUGCUGUAGCUCACAGUUACUCUACACUGCAGAUAUGACGCCUCUGUUCAUCUCAGUGCUGCUGGCUGCUAUGUGCCUCGAAUGCAGAGCACAAAAAGACAACGUGCUGCAAGCAAAAGGAGAAGAGACUGCUGCUGAAGGAGACACAGUAACACUUCACUGUCUCUAUAACACCAGCAGUACAACUAGUAAUUAUCUCUACUGGUACAAACAGGAUGGAAACAACAGCCCCAAAUUCAUCCUGAUCCGCUUUAAUGGGGACCAAGGAAACACAGCAGAUGAGUUCAAGGAGAGAUUUUCAUCCACACUGGAUUCCAGCAUCAGAUCAGUUCCUCUGAAGAUCCAGAAGCUUCAGUUGUCUGACUCUGCUGUGUACUACUGUGCUCUGCAGCCCACAGUGACAGGAAACACCAAAACUCUGUACAAAAACCUUUGGAGCAAAGACAACAGAAUACUCCACAACAUCCACUAGAGGGAGCCACACACUGUUAAACCUCUGAUUCUUGUGUCAUUGGACUGAUGACAAAGACAACAGAGAAAUGAAGCAGUAAAGAUCAGAGACAGAGACAGAGCUGCUGUGGAAGCACAAAACUAUUUGAUUGGCUGAGCUGAACUGAAAUGAUGAUACCAGAGGUAACUGGCCCCGCCCACUGAUCUUGAGCUCAUCCAA
Molecule: non-coding RNA, 822 nt
Organism: Pelmatolapia mariae (spotted tilapia)
Lineage: Eukaryota; Metazoa; Chordata; Actinopteri; Cichliformes; Cichlidae
Source: the annotation of a RefSeq genome assembly